UGCCAUGAUGUUGUAAUUUGCGUCCUACUCUGCACCAUGCGACAGUUGCCUACUGUCAUUAUGCUGGUGUAGGUGGCUGUCGAAAACCUACCUUCUGAGCC
Molecule: small nucleolar RNA, 101 nt
Filed under: Leptobrachium leishanense (Leishan spiny toad)
Lineage: Eukaryota; Metazoa; Chordata; Amphibia; Anura; Megophryidae
Description: Small nucleolar RNA SNORD16 (ENSLLEG00000008224.1)
Rfam family: Small nucleolar RNA SNORD16
About the family: U16 is a member of the C/D class of snoRNA which contain the C (UGAUGA) and D (CUGA) box motifs. U81 acts as a guanine methylation guide and is found in an intron of ribosomal proteins L1 gene in animals.
Source: Rfam by way of RNAcentral